This 501-nucleotide ribosomal RNA is filed under the name uncultured Desulfobulbus sp. RNAcentral describes it as "bacterial SSU rRNA". It matches the Rfam family "Bacterial small subunit ribosomal RNA", at positions 886 to 1382 of the family's 1533-position model. The record is from RNAcentral. Lineage: Bacteria; Pseudomonadati; Thermodesulfobacteriota; Desulfobulbia; Desulfobulbales; Desulfobulbaceae.
AGCCCGCUCAGAAACUCAAAUGAAUUGACGGGGCCCGCACAAGCGGUGGAGUAUGUGGUUUAAUUCGAUGCAACGCGAAGAACCUUACCUGGUCUUGACAUCCCAGAGACCCUUAGGAAACUAGGGGGUGCUUCCAUCUGGAAGAAUCUGGAGACAGGUGCUGCAUGGCUGUCGUCAGCUCGUGUCGUGAGAUGUUGGGUUAAGUCCCGCAACGAGCGCAACCCUUGCCUUUAGUUGCCAGCAGUUCGGCUGGGCACUCUAAAGGGACUGCCGGUGUUAAACCGGAGGAAGGUGGGGAUGACGUCAAGUCCUCAUGGCCUUUAUGACCAGGGCUACACACGUACUACAAUGGCCGAUACAAAGGGCAGCGACACUGCGAGGUGAAGCCAAUCCCGUAAAAUCGGUCUCAGUCCGGAUUGGAGUCUGCAACUCGACUCCAUGAAGUUGGAAUCGCUAGUAAUCGUGGAUCAGCAUGCCACGGUGAAUACGUUCCCGGGCCUU